GGAGAGAUGGCAGAGUGGUCGAUCGCGCUACCUUGGAAAGGUAGUGUAGGGGCAACCCUACCGUGGGUUCGAAUCCCACUCUCUCCGCCA
Molecule: transfer RNA, 90 nt
Filed under: alpha proteobacterium HIMB59
Lineage: Bacteria; Pseudomonadati; Pseudomonadota; Alphaproteobacteria; Candidatus Pelagibacterales; Candidatus Pelagibacteraceae
Description: tRNA-Ser
Rfam family: tRNA
About the family: Transfer RNA (tRNA) molecules are approximately 80 nucleotides in length. Their secondary structure includes four short double-helical elements and three loops (D, anti-codon, and T loops). Further hydrogen bonds mediate the characteristic L-shaped molecular structure. tRNAs have two regions of fundamental functional importance: the anti-codon, which is responsible for specific mRNA codon recognition, and the 3' end, to which the tRNAs corresponding amino acid is attached (by aminoacyl-tRNA synthetases). tRNAs cope with the degeneracy of the genetic code in two manners: having more than one tRNA (with a specific anti-codon) for a particular amino acid; and 'wobble' base-pairing, i.e. permitting non-standard base-pairing at the 3rd anti-codon position.
Source: RNAcentral